Molecule: long non-coding RNA, 3672 nt
Organism: Callithrix jacchus (white-tufted-ear marmoset)
Lineage: Eukaryota; Metazoa; Chordata; Mammalia; Primates; Cebidae
Source: Ensembl
GUGCUGGAGGAAAAAAGUGAAAAAGAAAAUAACCGUGGUGAUGUCAAGACUUGUCAGAGAAAACUGCAUUGUCAGGCUGCAUAACUCCUUAAUCCUGGAAUGGGAAAACAAGCGCACACUAAUUUAAACGUCAAACAGAGAAAAUAAUUCAAAGGAAUCCUUCUGCCGAGGGAACUGGACUGGCAGGAGACAGGAAAAUAUGAACGCACCUUCGAUGUCUUCACAAACUGGAACCCCGAGGAAAAGCCAGAGCCAGUUUUCUAAGCUUGCUGCUCUAUGUGUGCCCGUGUGGAUGAGUCGGUGCGGUGUGUCUGACUUGCUCCAGAAUAAGCCUCCAUGGGUUCCCAUGGCAGUGGACACGUUUGGUAAAGUUGUAAGACACUGGCCAUCUGCCUGUCAAACUCGGUCACACCAUUUGCCAAACGAAUCCUUGAUAAAGACCCCUGAAAAAAGAUGGAGAACCCUGUCUGGAAGAACACUGUGGCUAUUCGGACUCACCCCUAAAUCCGAAUUUUUAGCUGAAUAGAAAUAUUUUUAUGUUGCACUUUAUCAAAGGAGACGUUUUCUUCAAUGACCCCAUGGCUAUUUAAAAAGAAACAGACACAUGCACACACUUCACAGGUAGAAAGAUCUUUUCUAAAAGUAUUUUUGGGGCUUGCGUUUAAAAAUGGAAGUCUUACCUGAAGGCAAGAAUGAUAGCGGGAAAGAAAUGUUGCAGUCAUUUUUCCCUUUCAAACCUACUGUCCUGUCGUUGGAUAGGAGCCUUUGCUGGUGCUAGGGAUGCGCCCUAAUUGCUCAGUCCUCAGGUGAGUGAGCAGUCCAGGUGAGCUAGUAACAGAAGAGUAUUCGAAUCUAGCACUGAAGCUGUUGUUGCCAGCACUCAAGGUGCUUGCAGAGGCACAAGCCCUUUUGGGAGCUGCCUUGAUGGGUCCCUUUGUCGAGUGCUUUCAGACAGGAUUUCUUCCUUUCCACCCUGCUUCCCCAGCACAGCUAUGCAGACCGAAACUUUACUGAUGGGGUGGAAUUCAUCACCGCACUUUCAAAGAGAAGGUGGAAGACACUGAAAUCAUUUAUAAGUGAGAAUGGAGGAAAGUUAAUGGCAUGAACUUUAAUUAUCCUGAACCUCCCAGCUCUCCUGAGUCUUUGGGAUCACAGUACCUCAAUGAUGUGUGAGUGACGAGCUAGAGCCAGCAAUUUGACUCCCGGAAAGUGGAAAGGGAAUUUGAGUCUUCAGAGAAAACUGGGAUGGAAUGAAAUCACAGAACACCAGAGUGAGGGAGGACCUUGGCCAACUGGUACAAUGCUCCCCACCCGUUUUUCACUAUCGCCUGGGAGGGCAAGAAGAGGCCUGUGUAAGGGUGUGAAGCUUCUCAGCAUCACAGAGGAUUAGAACUGUAACAUGCAAACUUCCGGUAAGAGCCCCCCAAGCGGGUUGCCCCCAUGGUGCCCUGCAGAGGCAGCCUUUUAUUUAAAAACGUAAUUGAUCAGCUUCUGCAAAUUCUCACUGAAGGCCCUUAAAUAAAUCAAAAUGAAGAGAAAGAAUAGUACUCUACUUAAAAAAAAACUCACGUGCAAUUCUGAUUCUUGACCUGCUCAGUCCUCACCCCGCCCCGUGGAGUAGUACAGCUUACUAUCCGAGGGGUUUAUUCCUCGGCCAUCCACCUUGCAUGUUUUAUUUUCAUUUUCAUUAUUAUACUUUUGCACUCUGAGCCGGAAACAGAAGGUACAAGAUGUUGUGGCGUCAAUAAUUUUAGACCAAAAUGCAAAGGAGGACUUUUAACCCACACAACUCCAAGUGGCUACGUCAUAAUGAAGAACCUGUGGUGGAAAGGAUGAAUGUGUGGGCCUGGAUCUUCCCGACUCCCCCUGCUUGGUUUUCUUUCUAUCAUUAAGUCAAGAGUGGAUUUCCCUUGGCUGGAAGCUACAGUUGAGUGGAAUUUUCUUGGCCUAGUGUGUAGACACUUCGAAUUUCAUAUCCCAACUAUAUGGGUACAAUGGUGUUCUCAAGGUUGGGUUGCAAGUUCUUUAGUCCCUGACACCCUAAAGCCAUCAAAUGAACCCAAGGAGUGCUAGGAACUGUGAGAUUGAGACCCCACUCGAGACACUCCUGCGGGGACUCUAGGGACACCACUGUCAGGCACAGGCGAACAUCCUGACUCUUCUGCACAGCACAAAAGGUCUUUUUUUUCUCUAGGCGAUAAGGAAAAUGUCUCAAGUUACGUAAGUGGGGAAAAAGGCACUCCAGGCUACCAUAUUUUAGUCACGUAGGCUCCGGCUAGGUCACCUCUGCACAGGGAGAACACCGAGCGAUUUGUCCGCAUCAUUUCCAUGCCAUGAAUCAAAGUUGUAUUUGUGUCCAUCAGAAUAGAGACUUCACGCUGGAGGAAAAUCAUCCAUGAGCCCCAGGGAAGGCAGUGAUUUGACACAAUGUUGUUGAAAGUCAAGAGUGCUCAGCAUGAAAUGCGCGGGCGAUGACAGCAGGAUUAACUGUCUUAACUUCUGUGUGAAGAGAGGAUGGGUGUGCCCGCUGAUGAAAGGCGCCGGGAUGCAGAGGCAGCCCUUCCCCGGCUCUUCUGAGGAUGCCUGCUGGAUGGAGACCAGUCAGAACUCCUAUGGGCCUGAAGCUUAACCAAAGUGGAGACUGAGCAGCUGUGGGACGUCAUAAGAAAAUCAAAUUCACUACUCAGCUGAUUCUAGAGCCGCAGUUUGGAAAAUUUGGAAGCUGGUUUUAUAUAUUGUAUCAUUUUCCUUUGAGAAUAAGAUUUUUUUUUCUGUUUCUUUGCACUUGGAAGAGAAAAGCUGGAUAUUUCUGCUAAGAGUAAGUCAACGAAUUCCAGAGUGAAUUUGGGGAAAAAAUCUAGAAGUGACAGGAAGUGGUAAGCUCUUCACCACUAUCAUUUUCUUACAAGGGCACUUGAAUGCGUACGUUCUGAAGACACUUCAGCAGAUCUACCUGCAGUCAUUUCAGGUCAGUGAACCGUGCUCUUGAAGCCUCAGAGUAAUUGCCAGAACACUAAAAGUGAGACGCACUGGAUGUUUCCUUUGGAAAGGCCGAUUAAAGGUGAUUGAUCACACAUUCUUUGUCUUACACGCAGCUUAUGUUUUCUUAAGCUGUGUCAGCCUGGAGAUUAAAAGAAGGGUUCAAUCAGAAACACGGAAGAAUAGCUGUCUGUCUCUGUCCCCGUAGCUUUGGGGAAGGCCUCCUUCUCAAGCUCUCCCACCCUCCCCAGAGUCCUGGGUGGGAGUUUGGGGAGUCUCAUGGCCUUUCCAUCUUGGUGACACUGUUAUUGUGUCACUGUUAUUGUUUCCUCCUUUCCUGGCCCCAAGCUAGGCCUCCAGUGGCCACCAUCGCUGCGAAACCUGCUGUCCGACUUGUCAAAGCCAUCGCAAAGCUUGUGUGGCGUCCUUGAAGGGUGAUGCUCCCUGUGGCUUCUCUUUCUGUCUACAUGCAGACCCAUUUCGCUUAAACUCUAGUGUCCAUGCUUCCGUGGGCUCCUGGUGGAGAGCCUCUCACUACCAGACGUGUCUUCUCUUCCACACGGAGUGCUGAGCACAGCAGCCAUGUGGUCAAUACCGUCACACACACCUGUGCUGUGUAACUUUGUGUUAAUUCCCUACCCUAGGACCUAGAAAUGAGGCCACAGGGGCCGAGAAAAAAAUAUUAAUGUGAAU